Molecule: ribosomal RNA, 463 nt
Filed under: Babesia venatorum (nom. ined.)
Lineage: Eukaryota; Apicomplexa; Aconoidasida; Piroplasmida; Babesiidae
Description: SSU rRNA
Rfam family: Eukaryotic small subunit ribosomal RNA
Source: RNAcentral
AAUGAUGGUGACCUAAACCCUCACCAGAGUAACAAUUGGAGGGCAAGUCUGGUGCCAGCAGCCGCGGUAAUUCCAGCUCCAAUAGCGUAUAUUAAACUUGUUGCAGUUAAAAAGCUCGUAGUUGAAUUUCUGCGUUAUCGAGUUAUUGACUCUUGUCUUUAAUCGAUUUCGCUUUUGGGAUUUAUCCCUUUUUACUUUGAGAAAAUUAGAGUGUUUCAAGCAGACUUUUGUCUUGAAUACUUCAGCAUGGAAUAAUAGAGUAGGACUUUGGUUCUAUUUUGUUGGUUUUUGAACCUUAGUAAUGGUUAAUAGGAACGGUUGGGGGCAUUCGUAUUUAACUGUCAGAGGUGAAAUUCUUAGAUUUGUUAAAGACGAACUACUGCGAAAGCAUUUGCCAAGGACGUUUCCAUUAAUCAAGAACGAAAGUUAGGGGAUCGAAGACGAUCAGAUCCGUCGUAGUCCU